UACGGAGGGUGCAAGCGUUAUCCGGAUUCACUGGGUUUAAAGGGUGCGUAGGUGGACAGGUAAGUCAGUGGUGAAAUCCUGUAGCUUAACUACAGAACUGCCAUUGAUACUAUCUAUCUUGAAUAUCCUGGAGGUGAGCGGAAUAUGUCAUGUAGCGGUGAAAUGCAUAGAUAUGACAUAGAACACCCAUUGCGAAGGCAGCUCACUACAGGAAUAUUGACGCUGAGGCACGAAAGCGUGGGGAUCAAACAGG
This 253-nucleotide ribosomal RNA is filed under the name uncultured bacterium. RNAcentral's name for it is "partial 16S ribosomal RNA". It matches the Rfam family "Bacterial small subunit ribosomal RNA", at positions 524 to 776 of the family's 1533-position model. The record is from RNAcentral.